RNAcentral lists this ribosomal RNA (305 nucleotides) under uncultured bacterium. Its description in RNAcentral is "bacterial SSU rRNA". It matches the Rfam family "Bacterial small subunit ribosomal RNA", at positions 338 to 641 of the family's 1533-position model. The record is from RNAcentral.
CCUACGGGACGCAGCAGUGAGGAAUAUUGGUCAAUGGGCGAGAGCCUGAACCAGCCAAGUCGCGUGAGGGAAGACGGUCCUAUGGAUUGUAAACCUCUUUUGCCGGGGAGCAAAAAGCGGUACGUGUACCGCAUCGAGAGUACCCGGAGAAAAAACAUCGGCUAACUCCGUGCCAGCAGCCGCGGUAAUACGGAGGAUGCGAGCGUUAUCCGGAUUUAUUGGGUUUAAAGGGUGCGCAGGCGGCGUGUCAAGCAAGCGGUAAAAUAGCGGGGCUCAACCCCGUCGAGCCGUUUGAACUGGCGCGC